AUGAGCUUCGACGUUCAAGAUGACAUUAAUCAUUUGUUUGAUUCAUUUAUAUGUAGCCCGCAGCAAAGCACGGGCGUUCAACUAGUGUAUUCCAAUAUCUCGCCGCCGGCACAAGGUUUCCGAUGGCUGCCCCAAAAUUCUUCAACAUCUCCCCCUACUCCUUCGACCCUCCCCCCCCUACACAAUUCUCACGCCAGCACCCCCAGCCCGGACUGGGUCCUCCUCGACACGAAGGCGUACAUCGCCGACCGCAGGAACGGCACCACUGCCACAGCCUUGGCGAGCAACGGCGAAGCCGUCGAGGUGACCUUCUGGAUUGCCGACCCGCCGGCUCUUUCCCACUUCUCUGUUCACUGCAAGGAGCUUUUUGAUAUGGCGGAGGAGCCCCGUGUUAUCUGUUCCGAUAAGAAGGUCGCCAUCCUAUGCCUCCACUGGAUCUCUUCUAAAUUCGGCAGGUGCAAAGUUCUCCGUGACUACUUCGUCUACACAGCCAGAUCGCUGAACAAGGCCCCCUCGCUCAUGCGGCUCCCGAACCCAUCCCCGCGUGUGUUCAAUCCACGGGAGAUGGGUCUCUUGCCCACAGUCGACGGGGAAGGUUUCGUUAUCGCUGUUGUUCGUCCGCAGUUGAUAAUUCCAGGCCGAUAUGAUCUCCACCUCUUCAUCUCCAAGAACUGGAGAUGGAGCACAAAGUCUGCACAAUUGGACCCACAAUUGGUGGCUAGGUCAAAUAUCGACAAGCACAAAACGGACAAGGUUAUCCCACUUAUGGAAGAAGGCUCACUGGGCUGGGUUGAUCUCUGUCGUGGUAUUCUGCUCUGCAAUGUCCUCGAUGACAAUCCCAACCCUGUGUUGCGUUUCAUUCCAUUACCUAAGGAAGCGGCCAUUAACAGGGAUAUCAAAAAUUGUCCUUGGUUAUACCGGGAUGUCACCUACAUCAAUGGUCUUAUCAAAUUUGUUGCUAUGAAAACAUGGGAAAGCAGCACGCUUACAAGUAAAAGGACGUGUGGCUCCUCUGAUGAUAUCACAGAUAUGCAAUUCGAUUCAGACUUGGAGUUGGACGACGACAACAUGUAUGUCAUGGAUGACACCUUUAGCUGGAAUGCUGUUGCAUGGGUCAGGAAGACUUCCCAGGAGGCUUGGACCUGUAACUGUGACGUCAGUGUUGAUGACAUUGCCAUUGACAACAUAAGGCAUUUGCCUCCACUGAAUAAACUCAGAAUAUCUGCCCCUACCCUGAGUAUUCAUGGUGAUGAUGCUGUUAUUUAUCUCACGUCUAAGUUGAACAUCGACGAUGAUAAUGCCUGGGUCCUUACAGUCAACAUGACAAGGAAGACUUUGGAAGAUGUUGUAAUGUUUUCUGCCAAAAGAUUCUUCUUGUUCAAUAUCACGUACCGUCCCUGUUCAUUGUCCAAACAUCUGGACAUGACUGCAGAUAAUUGUGAAGCUGGUAUCCAGAUCAAAGGAGAUGAUUCUGAAUAUGAUGCAGAGGACAGAACAAUCCUUGUAGAUCGGCUAGAUCCCUGUAUUACCGAGGACCAGCUGAAGUGCAUCUUUACUCAAUCUGGAGAACUUGGUCAUGUGCAGAUGCUUGUACACCAGCAACGUGCAUUAAUCAAAUUCAUUCACAGGUGUUCCGCUGAGAAUGCCAUAUGUGAAUACAAUGGAUUUUUGAUUGGUAGGAAUCACAUUCGCAUUUCUUGGAAAUGUGACACUUCAGAUGGAUUGCAAGGGGAUGUGCAGAGCUACCACGUGCAUCCACAGUUUUCUGGUGUUUACAGUUGCAAUCCUACAUUAGAAGGCACUUACCUGUACCAAAAGAGCAACAGAUCAAAAGGCUAUGGCUACCACCUGCAACAGCUGAAGCUGCUGCCACUGCCAUAUCGCAGCAUUAAUGGUGCUAUUCAGUCAUGA
This 1911-nucleotide ribosomal RNA is filed under the name Triticum aestivum (bread wheat). RNAcentral describes it as "partial small subunit ribosomal RNA". The record is from RNAcentral. Lineage: Eukaryota; Viridiplantae; Streptophyta; Magnoliopsida; Poales; Poaceae.